Molecule: unclassified non-coding RNA, 325 nt
Filed under: air metagenome
Description: partial contains small subunit ribosomal RNA, internal transcribed spacer 1, and 5.8S ribosomal RNA
Rfam family: Eukaryotic small subunit ribosomal RNA (bases 1-46)
Source: RNAcentral
AAGUCGUAACAAGGUUUCCGUAGGUGAACCUGCGGAAGGAUCAUUAACGAAUAUCUAUGGCGUUGGUUGUAGCUGGCUCCUAGGAGCAUUGUGCACGCCUGUCAUUCAUAUCUUUCCACCUGUGAACCAUUUGUAGGCCUGGAUACCCCUCGCUUUGGCAACAAAGCGGAUGCAAGGAUUGCUGCGUCGACAAGGCCGGCUCUCUUUGAAUUUCCAGGUUCUAUGUCUUUUACACACCCCAUUCGAAUGAUUUUAGAAUGUAGUCAAUGGGCUUUCAUGCCUAUAAAAAACUAUACAACUUUCAGCAACGGAUCUCUUGGCUCUC